CCGGUAUCAAUAUGUUAAAAUUUUAAUCUAAAUAAAAAAUUUUAUUAUAAAUUUAAAUUAAAAAAGUUUAAUCGUAAAUUAAAUUUAAUUUUAUAUCAAAUUUAAAUUAUUUAUCAGUUGUGAUCAAUUAAAAACGAACGGUUAUGAUCAAUCUGUUAAAAGUUUAAUUUAUAUCGAGUGAUCAAUUAAAAACAAACAGUUAUGAUCAAUUAAAAACGAACGGUUAUGAUCAAUUUAUUAAAAAAUAGCAUUCCUAUCUAUAUUUGUACUAUAUAUAAAAGCAUAUAAGAAUAACAGAAGAAAGAAAGAAUAUUUUCUACGAACGAUUAUGAUCAAUUUGUAAAAAAAAAAAAUCUCAAAUA
Molecule: long non-coding RNA, 362 nt
Filed under: Ananas comosus (pineapple)
Lineage: Eukaryota; Viridiplantae; Streptophyta; Magnoliopsida; Poales; Bromeliaceae
Description: long non-coding RNA (ACOM_LNC026230)
Source: RNAcentral